GAUGAACGCUGGCGGCGUGCCUAACACAUGCAAGUCGUACGAGCCCGAUCUUCGGAACGGGUUAGUGGCGCACGGGUGAGUAACACGUAGGUGACCUACCCCAGAGUGGGGGAUAACUUCUCGAAAGAGAGGCUAAUACCGCAUACACUCGGUCAUUCAUUUGGCCGAGCAAAGCUCCGGCGCUUUGGGACGGGCCUGCGUCCGAUUAGCUAGUUGGUAGGGUAAUGGCUUACCAAGGCUUUGAUCGGUAGCUGGUCUGAGAGGACGAUCAGCCACACUGGCACUGACACACGGGCCAGACUCCUACGGGAGGCAGCAGUGAGGAAUAUUGGGCAAUGGGCGAAAGCCUGACCCAGCAACGCCGCGUGAGGGAUGAAGGCCUUCGGGUUGUAAACCUCUUUUCUGGGAGAAGAGACAAGGACGGUAGUCCCAGGAAUAAGUCUCGGCUAACUACGUGCCAGCAGCCGCGGUAAU
Molecule: ribosomal RNA, 474 nt
Filed under: uncultured bacterium
Lineage: Bacteria
Description: bacterial SSU rRNA
Rfam family: Bacterial small subunit ribosomal RNA
Source: RNAcentral